Molecule: non-coding RNA, 135 nt
Organism: Hordeum vulgare subsp. vulgare (domesticated barley)
Lineage: Eukaryota; Viridiplantae; Streptophyta; Magnoliopsida; Poales; Poaceae
Source: Rfam
UUAAUACUCCCUCCAUCCUAAAAAAAUUAUCUUAGAUUUGUCUAGAUAUGAAUGUAUCUAGUCACGUUUUGGUAUUUAGAUACAUCCUUUUCAGACAAACUUAAGACAAGAAUAUUAGGACGGAGGGAGUACAUA